This 437-nucleotide ribosomal RNA is filed under the name uncultured bacterium. Its description in RNAcentral is "partial 16S ribosomal RNA". It matches the Rfam family "Bacterial small subunit ribosomal RNA", at positions 28 to 507 of the family's 1533-position model. The record is from RNAcentral.
GAUGAACGCUGGCGGCAUGCCUAACACAUGCAAGUCGGACGGGAAGUGAUGAUUUCCGUGGUCUACGGGUGUGUAACGCGUAAGAGUCUGCCCUAGGGAGCGGAACAACAGCUGGCAACGGCUGCUAAUACCCGGUAGGUAGUGGAGCAAAACAAGGGAUCUUCCAGAGGAAGGGCUUGCGUCUGAUAACCUAGUUGGUGAGGCAAUAGCUUACCUAGGCGUUGAUCAGUAGCUGGUUCGAGGGGAUGAUCAGCCACACUGGGACUGGGACACGGACCGGGCACCUACGGAAAGCGGCAGUAGGGAAGUUGCCGCAAUGCGCGAAAGCGUGACAGGGCAAUGGCGCGUGGAGGUCGGUUGGCCGGGAAUCAUGAGCUGCAGUUUCCGAAGAAGAAGCUAUGACGGUAUCUGAGGAAUAAGCAACGGCUAACUCUGUG